Molecule: transfer RNA, 59 nt
Filed under: Echinorhynchus truttae
Lineage: Eukaryota; Metazoa; Acanthocephala; Palaeacanthocephala; Echinorhynchida; Echinorhynchidae
Description: transfer RNA-Phe
Source: RNAcentral
GUCACUUUAGCUUAUAUAAAGUGUGGUAUUGAAGCUACUAAGAUUUUGUGGCAGUGUUA